UAUCAAGUUGUGUUUCGAUUAGAUCCGG
RNAcentral lists this small RNA (28 nucleotides) under Bombyx mori (domestic silkworm). RNAcentral's name for it is "piRNA piR-bmo-1799525". The record is from RNAcentral. Lineage: Eukaryota; Metazoa; Arthropoda; Insecta; Lepidoptera; Bombycidae.